Gossypium raimondii (Peruvian cotton) is the source of this 1576-nucleotide RNA transcript. It is a transcript of the gene named aminotransferase ALD1, chloroplastic, with no coding region annotated. NCBI's taxonomy places the organism in Eukaryota, Viridiplantae, Streptophyta, Magnoliopsida, Malvales, Malvaceae. The transcript has 11 exons. The record is from RefSeq and is a predicted model, not a curated record.
UUACUACUCAUCCCGCAUAAAAGCAAGAAGGUUAAAGGAGCUUGUGUUUUUGCAAAAUAUCCGGAACCAAAAUGAACAAGCUAUCAGCUUGCAGUUCUAUGGCCUGUGGAAUUUCUUUGCAGCCUAAGAUGGUCCUGGCGAGUUUGAGAGUACGUAAGCAGGGAAACGGUCGUUGCACAAAUGUACCCCGUAAUGUAAACUUGGAAAAGCUGCAAAAUAACUAUUUGUUUCCUGAGAUUUCAAAGCGGGAGCUGCAGCACCUGGAAAAGUACCCAAAUGCAAAAGUGAUUAGCCUUGGAAUUGGUGAUACCACAGAGCCAAUUCCCGAGCAAAUCAGCCUUAGCAUGGCUAAUUAUGCACGUGCCCUUUCAACUGCUGACGGUUAUAGGGGCUAUGGAGCUGAGCAAGGGAAUCAGGCAUUGAGGAAAGCAAUUGCCGAAACAUUUUACAAGGAUGUCGCCAUAAAGGACACAGAAGUUUUUGUAUCAGAUGGUUCUCAGUGUGAUAUUUCCCGCCUUCAGCUGCUUUUAGGUUCAAAAGUGACAAUAGCCGUGCAGGAUCCAUCUUUUCCGGGUUAUAUAGAUUCAAGUGUCAUAAUCGGCCAGGCUGGUGAUUUUCAAGACAAAACUGGGAAGUAUCAAAACAUUGAGUACAUGCAGCUUGGCCCUCAGAAUAAUUUCUUCCCUGAUUUAACGGUCACUCCAAGAACGGAUAUCAUCUUCUUUUGUUCACCAAAUAAUCCUACAGGUCAUGCAGCUACAAGGAAGCAAUUACAGCAGCUUGUAGAGUUUGCAAGGGAUAAUGGAUCAAUUAUUAUUUUUGACUCCGCUUAUGCAGCCUAUAUCUCUGAUGACAGUCCUAAAUCAAUCUUUGAAAUUCCUGGUGCCAAAGAGGUUGCAAUUGAAAUUUCAUCAUUCUCCAAAUUUGCUGGGUUCACUGGAGUUCGUCUUGGUUGGACGGUAGUGCCUGAAGAACUCUUGUUUUCAGGUGGGUUUCCUGUCAUACAUGAUUUCAACCGCAUUGUAUGCACCUGCUUCAAUGGAGCAUCCAAUAUAGCUCAGGCUGGUGGACUAGCAUGCCUUUCUCCAGAAGGUUUCCAGGCUAUCUGUGCAGUGAUCGACUACUACAAGGAGAAUGCAAAGAUAUUGGUAGAUACGUUUGCCUCUCUUGGCUUAGAAGUUUAUGGCGGUGUCAACGCCCCGUAUGUUUGGGUGCAUUUUCCUGGUUCAAAAUCAUGGAAUAUAUUUGCAGAAAUUCUUGAAAAGACUCAUAUAAUAACGGUACCAGGAUCUGGUUUUGGCCCUGGUGGUGGAGAGUAUAUCAGAAUCAGUGCUUUUGGGAAAAGAAAGCACAUCAUAGAAGCAUCAUGGAGGCUGGAAAAACUUUUCUCCAAGGGAAAACCCCUUUUUAACUGUCUAAAAUAAAAUUUAAAAAAUAUGGUGUGUUUCACCGGCCAUGCCAUCUCAUGGUAUAAUCAUUGUGUAAAAUAAUAAAAUUACCAGUGCCAUGAAUCCUAUUUGUAACUUAAGCUAUUCUACAGGAAUUACAAUAUCCAUUAUCUGGUGGUUCUUUUCAA